Molecule: long non-coding RNA, 1268 nt
Filed under: Homo sapiens (human)
Lineage: Eukaryota; Metazoa; Chordata; Mammalia; Primates; Hominidae
Description: HSALNT0278102
Source: RNAcentral
GCCAGGCAGUGGCUCACAUCUGUACUCCCAGCACUUCUGGAGGCCAAGGUGGGAGGAUUGUUUGAGCCCAGGAGCUCGAACCAGCCUGGGCAACAUAGUGAGAUCCUGCCUCUACAAAAAAUUUUAAAAUAAGUUGAGUGUGGUGGCACACUUCUGUAGUCCCAGCUACUUGAGAGGCUGAGGUGAGAGGAUCACUUAAGCCUGGGAAGUGGAGGCUGCAGUGAGCCUUGAUCGCGACACUGCACUCCAGCCUGGGUGACAGAGUGAGACCCUGUCUAGAAGGAGAAGGAGGAGGAAGGAAGAAGAGAAGAGAGGAGACACACAGGGGCAGAUAGCUAUGCGACAGUGGAGGCAGAGAUAGCAGCGAUGCAAUUCCUACUUGCUAGGGAAGCCAGGAUCACUGGCAAACACGAGAAGCUGGAGAUUGAAGGAAGGAUCUUCCUUCCCUACAGGUUUUGGGGGGAGCAUGACACUGCCAACACCUUCAUUUUGGACUUCCAGCCUCCAGAACUCUGAGGCAACACAUUUCUGUCAUUUUAAGUAACUCAGUUUGUGAUACUUUGUUACUGCAGCCCUGGAAAACAAAUACAGGUGGGAUUCAGACUUUGGCCUGCUGAGCCUGUGGUUUUCCCGUUGAUGUCGCCCUGCAGCCAUGACAUGGACAGAGCUACUUGGGAUGCUGGGAUCGCAGCAUCCGUACUCACCUGCUCUCUGGAGCCCUCCUGCGCACAUGCACUGGAGCCAUGAGAUACCCCUGAGAAGUGGUGAGCUUGUGGCGUGAAGAGCUGGGUGACCUCCUCUUCCUUUUGGUGGCCUGAGCCAGAGAUGUCACUUCCUCACCUGCUCUUUUCUGCUUUCAUGUCUCAAGCUGCCUGGGGGCUUCUUUUUUUAGGUCUCUUACACUCGACUAAUCUGCGAAUGGGCCAAGAACCCACAAUGGGGAAAGGACAGACUCUUCAAUACGCAGGUUGGGAAAACAAAAUAUUCACCUGCAGAAGAAUUAAAUUGGAGCCUUGUCUCACAUCUUAUAUAAAAAUCAACUGAAAAUGGAUUAAGGACUUUAACAUAAGAUGUGAAACUAGAAGAAAACAUAGGGGAAAAGCUUCUUGACAUUGGUCUGGGCAAUGAUUUUUUUUUUUUUUAAUAUAUGAUCCCAAAGCUCAAGAAAAAAAAAUAGGUGAAUGGGGCCAGGCACGGUGGCUCAUGCCUGUAAUCCCAGCACUUUGGGAGACCAAGGCGGGCAGAUCACUUGAGGUCAGGAGUUCAAG